RNAcentral lists this ribosomal RNA (366 nucleotides) under Triticum aestivum (bread wheat). RNAcentral's name for it is "partial small subunit ribosomal RNA". The record is from RNAcentral. Lineage: Eukaryota; Viridiplantae; Streptophyta; Magnoliopsida; Poales; Poaceae.
AUGUUAUCCAUGCUUUCGUGGUGCAAAAAAUAUGCGGGUGAGGAGCUCACAUUGAUUUUCGUCGAGGUGGAGUUUGCCGAAGACAGCCGGCGCGGCUCAGCGCUUGCUGAGUGCGCCGGCGCACCCGCUGGGUGUAGCUUUCGAGUCUUCGGGUGCUCGAAGAGGGUCCCGGCCGGUCAGGCUCGACCGGGGAGGCGGGACGUGACCAAGCCGGCUUGGCACAGCCGGCCAGGCGUCUGGCAGCGCCCUUUUUCUUCUUUCUUCUCUUCUGCCGGCUGCUCGCAGCCGGAUAAAACUCUACUUUUGUCUCUUGUUUUGUUUCUUGCAAUCUUCCAUGGGGCGCACCAGCGCACCCACUGGGUGUAG